UGUGCCAGCCGCCGCGGUAAUACGUAGGGCGCAAGCGUUGUCCGGAAUUAUUGGGCGUAAAGAGCUCGUAGGCGGUUUGUCGCGUCUGCUGUGAAAACCUGAGGCUCAACCUCGGGCUUGCAGUGGGUACGGGCAGACUAGAGUGCGGUAGGGGUGACUGGAAUUCCUGGUGUAGCGGUGGAAUGCGCAGAUAUCAGGAGGAACACCGAUGGCGAAGGCAGGUCACUGGGCCGCAACUGACGCUGAGGAGCGAAAGCAUGGGGAGCGAACAGGAUUAGAU
RNAcentral lists this ribosomal RNA (280 nucleotides) under uncultured Actinomycetales bacterium. Its description in RNAcentral is "partial 16S ribosomal RNA". It matches the Rfam family "Bacterial small subunit ribosomal RNA", at positions 504 to 783 of the family's 1533-position model. Lineage: Bacteria; Bacillati; Actinomycetota; Actinomycetes; Actinomycetales. The record is from RNAcentral.